GAUGAACGCUAGCGGCAGGCUUAACACAUGCAAGUCGAGGGGCAGCAUGAAGGUUAGCAAUAACCUUUGAUGGCGACCGGCGCAAGGGUGCGUAACGCGUGAGCAACUUGCCCGUUUCAGGGGGAUAACCGGUGGAAACGCCGACUAAUACCCCAUGGCAUCGUCUGGAGGCAUCUCCAUUCGAUUAAAGAGUUUCGGAAACGGAUAGGCUCGCGUGACAUUAGCUAGACGGCGGGGUAACGGCCCACCGUGGCGACGAUGUCUAGGGGUUCUGAGAGGAAGGUCCCCCACACUGGAACUGAGACACGGUCCAGACUCCUACGGGAGGCAGCAGUGAGGAAUAUUGGUCAAUGGGCAGAGCCUGGAACCAGCCAAGUAGCGUGAAGGAAGACUGCCCUAUGGGUUGUAAACUUCUUUUGUUCGGGAAUAAAGUUCAGUAUGUAUACUGUUUUGUAUGUACCGUUCGAAUAAGCAUCGGCUAAUUCCGUG
Molecule: ribosomal RNA, 489 nt
Filed under: uncultured bacterium
Lineage: Bacteria
Description: bacterial SSU rRNA
Rfam family: Bacterial small subunit ribosomal RNA
Source: RNAcentral